AUUCUAUCCAGAGAGGCGGAGGGACUGGCCCAAUGAAGCCCGACAACCGGCAUUCUCAUUCGAAUGCAUCGGUGUCAAUUCCAGCAGCAUUAGCUGAAAGAUAGAAA
Molecule: non-coding RNA, 107 nt
Filed under: Lutispora thermophila
Lineage: Bacteria; Bacillati; Bacillota; Clostridia; Lutisporales; Lutisporaceae
Also listed under: 1 other name
Description: SAM-I sequence
Rfam family: SAM riboswitch aptamer (S box leader)
About the family: The SAM riboswitch is found upstream of a number of genes which code for proteins involved in methionine or cysteine biosynthesis in Gram-positive bacteria. The SAM riboswitch acts at the level of transcription termination control.
Source: RNAcentral